UAAGGAAUCUUUCGCAAUGGGGGAAACCCUGACGAAGCGACACCGCGUGAACGAUGAAGGUCGGAAGAUCGUAAAGUUCUUUUCUGAGGGAAAAAUUCUGAUGGUACCUCAGGAAUAAGCACCGGCUAACUCCGUGCCAGCAGCCGCGGUAAGACGGAGGGUGCAAGCGUUAUCCGGAAUUAUUGGGUGUAAAGUGUCCUUAGGUGGUUUUUUAAGUCGGGUGUCAAAGCCUGAAGCUCAACUUCAGUCAGGUAUCCGAUACUGGAAAACUAGAGAUCUCGAGAGGCAAGUGGAAUUUUGCGUGUAGGGGUAAAAUCCGUUGAUACGCAAAGGAACACCAAAAGCGAAAGCAGCUUGCUGGCGAGUUUCUGACACUUAUGGACGAAAGCGUGGGGAGCGAAAAGG
This 405-nucleotide ribosomal RNA is filed under the name uncultured bacterium. RNAcentral describes it as "bacterial SSU rRNA". It matches the Rfam family "Bacterial small subunit ribosomal RNA", at positions 355 to 776 of the family's 1533-position model. The record is from RNAcentral.